GUGCACUCGGGCGGGGUAGGGGGCAAAUAAGACAAAACAAAACUCUUUUAAAUUUAAAUACGAUAUAGGCAAUACGAACUGAGAAAGACAAUUCAAAGGACAGGAUGGUUUAAAAAAUUUCAUUGUAAUUUUGUUUAUUUCAAAAGUUAUUUAAAAUGACCAGUUAGAGUUAUUUCAUCUUCACCCCUCCCCUCUAAGUACAGUUCACGUGGUGACCUGAACAAGAUGGCAAAAGAGGAUGGUGAAAUUGAUGUUCUUUGCGUUUUUCCUUGCGAACCAAAAGAUUAUAACUCCGGGCGAUGUAGGGUGGACAGAAACACUUUUAUCAGGCUCGGGUUUUCUAUCGGAGCUCCAGUAAAGGUUAAUACAGGCUCAUAUUUUUUGUUUUGCAAUGUAUGGCCGAUGGACUGUGAACCACAAUUUCCUACAAUCCAAGUUGAUCGUCUUGUAUCACAGCGAAUAGAAGAAAAUACAGAAAGCACAGAGCAGGGUGUGAUAAGCGCUUGUCAGGAUAUAGAUGUCAUUAGUCCUAACGAAGCUCUUUCAGUGUCUGUCUCACUAAGGCUGACAAAUGAUGCCGAGGUAUCAGGCGGUCAUCUACCCAAAGAGUUUUUAAAAGCCAAGAGAACUCGAAAAGUGAGCCUCCUUUUACAAGGAUUAACAGUAUCAAAGGGCUGCCAUAUUAGAAUUAAACAACCGAGAAAUUCCACUUAUGACCGUUAUAAAUACAUCUCAGGUAUCGUCAUUGAAGAUGUGACAAGUGUAAUUGACAACAAUGCUUAUGUUGUUAUUACAGAGAAAACUAAUAUUAAUAUUGAGUCUGUGAAAGUUGGCAGUUCUGUGGACAGUGGUAAUAUUAUACUUUCUGGGCUUGACGACUCAAUUAAAAUGCUAAAAGAGCUGGUGCAGUUUCCAUUGUACUACCCAGAAUCCUUCUCACACCUGGGAAUUAAUGGCCCAAAGGGUAUUCUUCUAGUGGGAGCCCCUGGGGUUGGCAAGACGCUCCUGGUCCAUAAAGCCACAGUGGAUUGUGGCAUUAAACUUGUGUCCACGAAUGGAACAGAUGUAUUUGGCCCUCAUGCUGGGGAGAGUGAGGAAAAUUUGAGGAGAGUAUUCAAUAAAGCAAGAUAUGCGUCCAGGUUUGGGCCUUGUGUCUUAUUCAUUGAUGAGUUGGAUGCCUUGUGUCCCAAACGAGGAUCCAGUGGUAACGAAGAGGAGAACCGAAUAGUUGCACAGCUUCUCACCCUGAUGGAUGGUCUUGAGAGCAGGGGCGGAGUCAUAGUCAUUGGUGCUACAAAUAGACCCAACGCACUUGAUCCUGCGCUUAGGAGACCUGGAAGAUUCGACAGAGAGGUAGUUAUUGGUGUCCCUUCUGCAGGCCAGAGGCUUGAUAUCCUGCGUGCUCAUUGUAAGCCCAUCAAUCUCUCAGUUGAUGUCGACCUGACACACCUCGCUGAGAUCACUGUUGGAUAUGUUGGGGCUGAUUUGGCCUCACUCUGCCAACAGGCAGCAUUUGCUGCCCUUAAGCGGAGCCUUGCGAAAAACAAGUCUGAUAACAAAGGUAAAAGUUUGCACACCGUGAAGAUGAGUGACUUCCAGCUUGCAAUGUGCCACACUGUGCCCUCCACCCACAAGGGCAUGGAGGGAGUGGUGAGGCUACAGCCCACUCGUUGGGACGAUGUAGGGGGACUAGAGGGUGUCAAACAGGCUCUUCGCCAGGCAAUAGAGUGGCCAUUAUUACACCCAGAAGCCUUUGCAAGAAUGGGUUUGCGUCGUCCCAGGGGGGUGCUGCUCUAUGGCCCCCCUGGUUGCUGCAAGACAACCCUCGUUCGUGCCGCAGCCUCCUCGACCCACUGCACAUUCAUGUCGCUGAGCUGUGCGCAGCUUUUUAGUUCUUAUGUUGGAGAUGCAGAAAGAACUUUGCGCGAGUUGUUUUUGAAAGCUCGUGCUACAGCUCCCGCUAUUCUCUUUUUGGAUGAAUUAGACUCUCUUGCCGGAAAGCGUGGUAGCAACCUCGGCAUGGAGACGAGGCUACUGGCAACGCUUUUGAACGAGAUGGAUGGCGUGGGCGUGUCUGCAAACAUUUACGGCAAAGAAUGCAAUGAAAGAGAGAUGCCGCAAAAAUACAAGGAAGAUAGGGGAAGCAAAGGCAAUAUUGGCGGAGAAUCACUUACAAACAGCUGUGAGAGAAGUGCGAAUGUUGCUGGGAUUGACAACAUUGAAAUUUCUUUAGAACUAAAUAAAAAAUUAGAUGAGGGGAAUUCGGAUCAUAACAUUAGAGAAACGAGGACAAAUGAUUUAUCUCGCCUCUUUUCGCAAGACGUGAAAGACCUUAUUUUGGUUGCCGCAACUAAUCGGCCAGAGGCCAUAGACGGGGCCUUAUUACGACCGGGCCGAAUUGACUGCAUGAUUUAUGUCCCUCCUCCCGACAUGCAAGCGAGACUAGAAAUACUGAGGGUUCACACUCGCUUCAGUCCACUCGCGCCCGAUGUAGAUCUAAGCGUGAUCGCGGAGGGGACUGAAUUGUACUCCGGUGCUGAUUUAGAGAAUCUUUGUCGAGAGGCGGCGUUGUUUGCUUUGGAACAUAAGGGAAUGGACACUUGCAGUAUCGACAACAAGCAUUUUAUGAAAGCACUUGCAAACCUCAAACCCUCCCUCACGACAGAGCAGCUAAAAUACUACGAGAACAAACAGUGGAGAUAAAAAAAACUUCGCACAUCUCAUCCCUAAGGAGUGUUACAAAACAACACAUUUCCUUUACAUCAAGAAGUGUUACAAAACGUUCUUUUUUACCUUAAAGGAGUAUAAGAGACAAGAAUUACUAAUUUCCUUCGUUAGAUUAUACACCUAUUUCAAAAAACGUUGUCAUUGCAAACGGCAAAUAGCGAUUGUCGAAUGGCAGUUAUAGGACCGAAAGAAUCCAUGGAUCCCCAAAUAUUUGUUCCAAAUUCAGAAAAAUAUAAAUAAUACAUUCGACUGUCCAUUUCAUGUAAUUAAUAUAUCGUUCUGACAUCGCUUGAGUUUAUUUAUCACCUUUAUUUUUACAAAUAAUUACUACCCAUAAACAACUUUCGGUCGUAGAACUGCCAUUUGGCAAUUGCCAUUCGCCGUUCGCACUUACAACCUUUAUUGAAAUAGGUGUAUACUGAUCUAGACGGACGAGUCAUCGGCCUCGUAAGAUCCGCGACCAUUAGACAGCCGGCUUUGGGAAAAGGUAUUGGCGUCAUCAUCCGAGAUAUUUCGAUCGUCGUAAGCAGGAUUUUGGACGCCCGAGAGGAACGUGGUCAGUGGCUGAGCCCGUUGGUGAAAGAGGGAAUUAGCAGGAUUGUGUUGCCAUGUGGAAAAUUUCAGAAGAAGACCGACGAAGACCACCCCGAGAGGAAUCAAAACCACGUAGUACCUGGAACAGAGCGACGCAGACGUUAACAAAACACAGCGAAGAAUAUGCGUAUAGAUUGGCUAACACGACAAUGGAUCGUCAUCGCCCAAAUUAAAGUCAUAAGAAAUGGGCAUUUUCAUAGAAAUCAUCGGUCCUACAGCACACAAGACACAUCUGAUCCUGACCUUGGCAUUCGCAUUGGUCCAGGAAAUACCUGGCACAUACUGGGCCCACGCACGCUCCGUCCAGGCACGUGUUACCAUCGUCGCCGCACGUCGUGUUCCUGGGUUUCGGUAUCGGCUCUGGGCACACUGCUGUGGUGCCACUGAUGACAGUCAAGGAAAAGAAUGCUGAUAAUAAACUGGCAAUGAAAGCUGGACUGGAACUGGUGUUGUUUCGAAUUUGGACUCAAUUUUAUGUAAAAACGUAGAUUGGGGCAGACGGUUAUGUUAAAACAUUUUAAAAACACUUUUUAGAACCGGUCUAGUGGAGAGGUCGUGUUAGCAAUUUUAUUUAAAGCUUGCUAAUUUUUUUUGAUAAUAGCGAAUUGAGUUCCUAUUGUAAAAAAGUAGCUUGGAGUGGCAAAUGGACGCAAGCCCCAGCCCUUGGAUCUCUCUGCACGAGGUGGUGAGGAGGCCACGCCUUAUUGUGCAUAAGGAUAUUUGCAAAAUGACGCAUAGCUACAUUCAGUCUCUUUCCGACAGGUUUUGUGCGCUGAAAGCGUGCAGUUGGAUUCACAGCAAAGUCCCUUCUGCGGACUGCAAGGGAAGAAAGGAUAAAUAUCAUCAGUCAAACUGUAGGACUGCACAAUUAAUCAUACUGUAGUUUUAUUAUUUGAACUUUGUUAACAUAGAUAUGGUUGGUAUUUGUAUAACUGUUUACUUCACUAGGAAAUGUUUUUUUAACUAAUCUAAAUUACACACUUAUCUCAUGAAUGAUCGAAUGAAAUUCACUCAAAUCAGCCAU
This is an RNA transcript of Nematostella vectensis (starlet sea anemone), 4345 nucleotides long. It is a transcript of the gene named spermatogenesis-associated protein 5-like protein 1, with no coding region annotated. The record is from RefSeq and is a predicted model, not a curated record. The transcript is spliced from 8 exons. NCBI's taxonomy places the organism in Eukaryota, Metazoa, Cnidaria, Anthozoa, Actiniaria, Edwardsiidae.